CUUUAGACUACACGGCUUCACGCUCACAUAAACCCUAAGUUUCCUUCAUCUCCGGCCGCCGCUCAACCCUUCACCUUCACAGUUCACUUCAGUCGCCGCCGCUCAACCCUUCACAGUCACUUCAGUCGCCAGCGCCGCUCACCUUCAUCGCCGGCCGCCGCUAAUUCGCUGCUCAACUUCAUCGCUGAUUCGCUGCUCACCUUCAUCGCCGGCCGCCGCUCAACCCCUUCACAGUUAAGUCAUGAGUGAUUCACAAAAUAAAGUGGAGAAAAAGAAGGGCAAAACCCUGGUUUCAUUAAACAACAGGUUCCUUGAUUGCUAAUUUCAAAUAUGGAAUAAUAGGUCAUUUUCGUGUCUUAACAGGUCGUGUUCGGGUCUUAACACGUCGUGUUUGUGUCUUAAACAGGUCAUAUGAUAUGUUGGCAACAUUUUCGUGUCUUAACAGGUCAUUUCGUGUAACCUGUUUAUUAACAGGUUCGUGUUCGUGUUUGGAAAAUCUGACACGAUAAGAUUUCGUGUCGUGUUCGUGUUUACAGGUUUCGUGUUUGUGUCUUAUCGUGUUCGUGUCUUAACAGAUUGGGUUGACCCGAUAUGCCAGCCCUACGUUUUAUGUAAAACUUAACAAACCCAUCGGUUUGAUUAUUUUUG
Helianthus annuus (common sunflower) is the source of this 648-nucleotide long non-coding RNA. RefSeq lists it as uncharacterized. The transcript has 3 exons. NCBI's taxonomy places the organism in Eukaryota, Viridiplantae, Streptophyta, Magnoliopsida, Asterales, Asteraceae. The record is from RefSeq and is a predicted model, not a curated record.